ACGGAAGGCCGCAGUGGGGAAUAUUGCACAAUGGGGGAAACCCUGAUGCAGCGACGCCGCGUGAAGGAAGAAGUAUCUCGGUAUGUAAACUUCUAUCAGCAGGGAAGAUAAUGACGGUACCUGACUAAGAAGCCCCGGCUAACUACGUGCCAGCAGCCGCGGUAAUACGUAGGGGGCAAGCGUUAUCCGGAUUUACUGGGUGUAAAGGGAGUGUAGGUGGUUUGGCAAGCCAGAUGUGAAAGCCCGGGGCUCAACCCCGCGGACUGCAUUUGGAACUGUUAAACUUGAGUGCAGGAGAGGAAAGUGGAAUUCCUAGUGUAGCGGUGAAAUGCGUAGAUAUGAGGAGGAACACCAGUGGCGAAGGCGGCUUUCUGGACUGUAACUGACACUGAGGCUCGAAAGCGUGGGGAGCAAACAGGAUUAGAUACCCUGGUA
RNAcentral lists this ribosomal RNA (435 nucleotides) under uncultured Anaerosporobacter sp. RNAcentral describes it as "partial 16S ribosomal RNA". It matches the Rfam family "Bacterial small subunit ribosomal RNA", at positions 341 to 792 of the family's 1533-position model. Lineage: Bacteria; Bacillati; Bacillota; Clostridia; Lachnospirales; Lachnospiraceae. The record is from RNAcentral.